GAUGUUGCAUGUAUUUUGAAAUGGGCCUAUGGGCCAUACUGUUAUCUGAAUAAGGGGCUAAGGCCCAGUUUAUUGUAAUCUGAAAAGGGCUCUGGCCCAGUACCACUGUUACCUGAAUGGGCUUAAGCCCAAUAGGCUUGAGCUGACUUGGGCUUUGAAUGGGUUUUUCUUACACACUGAGUUUCCCCAAACUCACCCCUUUUAUUUUCAUCCACGCAGGAAAUCCCCAACCAUAGUGGGCUUGGAGCUGUGAAGGAAUUCGAAGUG
This 267-nucleotide long non-coding RNA is filed under the name Gossypium barbadense (sea-island cotton). RNAcentral describes it as "long non-coding RNA (GBAR_LNC009662)". Lineage: Eukaryota; Viridiplantae; Streptophyta; Magnoliopsida; Malvales; Malvaceae. The record is from RNAcentral.